This 352-nucleotide long non-coding RNA is filed under the name Melopsittacus undulatus (budgerigar). RNAcentral describes it as "lncRNA (ENSMUNG00000018584.1)". The record is from RNAcentral. Lineage: Eukaryota; Metazoa; Chordata; Aves; Psittaciformes; Psittaculidae.
UGUUGCGGUCGCUGCUUCAGAGAGGGUCAGAUCUAUAAAGAGAUCUGAGCAAGGAAGUCAAAGGCCCUGUGAAUAUACAGGAAUCUAUCCUUCAGACUCCAGCGUUGAGAGCAUUUGGAUGCAUUAAUGGGAGAACAUUGGAAGGAGUCAGAGGAAAGAAAAGGGAGAAAACAAAUAAGGCCACAGUGAAGUCUUUCUAAAAGUUUGGAGUGCCUGAGACACAGAAGACACUGUAAGCUUGAAGAGUGUGCAUCACCUGCUGCACAGUGUGGGCUUAGGGUGUAAUAAUGUGGUUUGAAGCAUAAAACCUGGAGAAGAAGGCUGCAAAGAGUCCAGGGAACCAGUUCUGAUA